UAGGGAAUCUUCCACAAUGGACGAAAGUCUGAUGGAGCAACGCCGCGUGAGUGAAGAAGGUCUUCGGAUCGUAAAGCUCUGUUGUUGGUGAAGAAGGAUAGAGGCAGUAACUGGUCUUUAUUUGACGGUAAUCAACCAGAAAGUCACGGCUAACUACGUGCCAG
Molecule: ribosomal RNA, 164 nt
Filed under: uncultured bacterium
Lineage: Bacteria
Description: partial 16S rRNA
Rfam family: Bacterial small subunit ribosomal RNA
Source: RNAcentral